CUGGUCUUUCACAUAAAUCCCCAGCUAUGCACGGGCUCCAUUUUUCCAUAAUGCUUUCUCUAGCUCUCUCCUACAUAGGAAAGAACUAUUUCUGAAUGACUGCCUUUUCAAGUCCCAAAGUAAAUCAAUGCCAUGAGGAAAGAAAAAAUGGGAAAUCUGAACUGAACUAAGAGGUGGAACUGAGAGCUCAUAAAGAAUUUACCAGGAGAACUGAAAGAGAAGCUAGUUUGGAAUCCAUGACAGCAAAUCUCCGUACAAUGCCAAAGCUUCUGAAAAAAGAGAAUCGUAAAUGUGGGUUCUGAGAAGAAGGAGAAAUGGUUAUUAAAGCCCACCAAUGUGAACAACCUCAAUGGAAGAAAGCCUGAAUUAUAAACAGAUUCCAUUCCAUUAAACCAGCAUUGAUGAAUGGUCUGUUGUGUGCCAGGCACUUUCAUAGGUGUUGGAGAUAAAAAGACAAAAUAUCCCUGCUCUCAAGGUCUUUGAAUUUCUAUUGUGAGAAACAACA
Phascolarctos cinereus (koala) is the source of this 505-nucleotide long non-coding RNA. RefSeq lists it as uncharacterized. The record is from RefSeq and is a predicted model, not a curated record. NCBI's taxonomy places the organism in Eukaryota, Metazoa, Chordata, Mammalia, Diprotodontia, Phascolarctidae.